Molecule: ribosomal RNA, 465 nt
Filed under: uncultured bacterium
Lineage: Bacteria
Description: partial 16S ribosomal RNA
Rfam family: Bacterial small subunit ribosomal RNA
Source: RNAcentral
GACGAACGCUGGCGGCGUGCUUAACACAUGCAAGUCGAACGGAAAGGCCCUGCUUGCAGGGUACUCGAGUGGCGAACGGGUGAGUAACACGUGGGUGAUCUGCCCUGCACUUCGGGAUAAGCCUGGGAAACUGGGUCUAAUACCGGAUAGGAGCCAUUUUUAGUGUGAUGGUUGGAAAGUUUUUUCGGUGUAGGAUGAGCUCGCGGCCUAUCAGCUUGUUGGUGUGGUAAUGGCCUACCAAGGCGGCGACGGGUAGCCGGCCAGAGAGGGUGGACCGCCACACUGGGACCGAGAUGGGGGCCAGAGUCCGGCGGCGGGGAGAAGUGGCGAAUAGGGCUCAGUGGCGGUCUGCGUGUUGCAGAGACGCCGCGUGGGGGAAGACGGCCUUCGGGUUGUACGCUUAUUUCGCCCGCGACGCAGCUUUUUGUGACGGUCCCUAGACAUGACACUCCGGCUAACGACGUG